AGGAUGAACGCUAGCGACAGGCCUAACACAUGCAAGUCGAGGGGCAGCACAAGGAGCAAUCUGAGGUGGCGACCGGCGCACGGGUGAGUAACACGUAUGCAACCUGCCUGUAAGCGGGGAAUAACCCGUUGAAAGACGGACUAAUACCGCAUAAUACUAAAUUACUGCAUGGUAAUUUAUUUAAACAUUUAUGGCUUACAGAUGGGCAUGCACAUGAUUAGCUAGUUGGAGAGGUAACGGCUCCCCAAGGCAACGAUCAUUAGGGGUUCUGAGAGGAAGGUCCCCCCACACUGGUACUGAGACACGGACCAGACUCCUACGGGAGGCAGCAGUGAGGAAUAUUGGUCAAUGGACGAGAGUCUGAACCAGCCAAGUCGCGUGCAGGAAGAAUUGUCCUAUGGAUUGUAAACUGCUUUUGCAGGGGAAUAAAGUGCAUCACGUGUGAUGUUUUGUAUGUACUCUGCGAAUAAGGAUCGGCUAACUCCGUGCCAGCCGCGGC
RNAcentral lists this ribosomal RNA (499 nucleotides) under uncultured bacterium. RNAcentral describes it as "bacterial SSU rRNA". It matches the Rfam family "Bacterial small subunit ribosomal RNA", at positions 26 to 518 of the family's 1533-position model. The record is from RNAcentral.